Molecule: long non-coding RNA, 1780 nt
Filed under: Malus domestica (apple)
Lineage: Eukaryota; Viridiplantae; Streptophyta; Magnoliopsida; Rosales; Rosaceae
Description: long non-coding RNA (MDOM_LNC009203)
Source: RNAcentral
UCCUAAUCAACCUAGGGUUUUAAUUUCUGUUUUCCUUUAAAUAAACCUCCUUGUUGCAGCCACAAAACAUUCCCCAUUCAUCCAGAAACUCACCAUUCACGCCAGAAACUGAACUUCAUCUUCAACAGCCCCAUUCUACCACCAUUCACCCAAAUUUCUGCAAAACCACCCUAGCCGCACCACCCAUCAACCCUAAACACUUCCAUACGUCCUCCAUCCAUUCUACAUCAUCAAAACAGCCCAGGAACCACCAACAUCCAAUCUGCCGCAAGCAAGGAAAGGGGACAGAUUCUCUACAAUUGUUUGGCUUUUCAAUCUGAGUUGUUGAACGAUUUUAGGUGUUUUCUAUCUUAUAUUUCAAUGUUUAAUUCAUGUAAUCUUUGUUUUGCUUUAAGUAUGAUUGGCUAAAUUUGUUUUGGCUAAGGGUGGAUUCAAAACCAUGAUUAUAUAUGUGAAAUAAGUUGAUUACUUCCAGUUAUCGUUGCAUAAGUCGUGAAUACAAUUCGCUUAACCGUUUGAUUUAGAACUUAUUCUUGUAUGUUGAUUGAGAGUGCACGCUUAAUUUGCAUGCUUGAAUUUGGUGCUAGGAUAUAAGUUUGUUUCACCUAAUCAUUAUGAAUUUAUAUUCGCAAGUAGUGAAGGUCGCUAGUCACGAUCGUGUUAAGUAGAUUCCUGGCAAGAGUAUCAUGCUUUUCAUAGUUACGAAUGCCUUGUCGAUGCUUAUGAUUUCCAAAGAACGUAAUGAUUCUAACUUGUAUCUUUAUCAUGUUGCUCAUAUAGAGAACUUGUUAGGAAUAAUUUGUUUGCGAUGCAUAUUCAUCAAAUUCAAUGAUUCUAGGGAAAUCUGAAGGUUAAUUUAAGCGGACCUAAUUAACUUGGAGUGUCGAGGUUCAUAACUUGUUAAAUUGAUAACUGGAAAUCGAUUUAGAUUGCAUAUAUUUCAUGUGUGGAGAAGAACCCCUUAGCCAUUCCAUCAUCCAUUGAUUCAUCACAAUUUUGUCUUACAAUCUGUUUUCUUUUUCAAUCUGCCCAUUUAAUUAUUUUCGUCCAAAAUCAAUCCCACCUUAUUCCUUUAAGUCAUAUUACUUAGAACUUGUCUUAGAAUAUGUUUUUAGGUGUUUUAGGUCAUUAGGAAACCAAAAUUCGUCCAAGUUGUGUUAGAGUCCCAAAACUGCCCAGAAAGUGGUUUUUAGGCAAUUUUGAGUGUUUGUUUGCUGUUUUGAGUCUUUUGGUUUGUUUUAGUAUUUUAGAUUUUAGUUUUGCAUUCUUUGAGUCUAGUUUAGUAUUUUAAACUUUGUUUUACAGAUUUGAGUCAGUUUAGAGUGUUUUAGCAAUCCCUCCUAAUCCCCGGUUUAAGAACGAUCCCUACUUAUCCAUACUACAUUUGUCAACAAGAGGGUUUAAUUUGUGUGUUUAGUUAUUUUACGCAUCAGCCCGAUGACUAAAACAGGCCAUAAGGGAAUAAAUGAUCACUCCCCCCGAGGCAUCUUCACCUUCUACCCAAGAAGCACAUGCUUAUCCUCUUCGGGCUAAAUCUUCCAAGGUAUAUUUUCCUCAUUCUUGGCUUUAAACCUGUAAUUUUACUACUUUGGAAGUUAAUGGCUAACCUUCACUUUAUGGUAGUGUUUGGGCCCAAAAAUAUUGUUUUUGGGCCAAGUUUAGAAUCCUUUUCGGCCUAGGAUUGGUUGGGCCAAAUUUAGAAUUCUUCUCGACCUAGAAGUCAUGUACAAGUGUCGUUGGAGUUAUUUAGCUCAUGGGCCGCACGAUCGAAGUUGGCCAU